GACGAACGCUGGCGGCGUGCUUAACACAUGCAAGUCGAACGGAAAGGCCCUGCUUUUGUGGGGUGCUCGAGUGGCGAACGGGUGAGUAACACGUGAGUAACCUGCCCUUGACUUUGGGAUAACUUCAGGAAACUGGGGCUAAUACCGGAUAGGAGCUCCUGCUGCAUGGUGGGGGUUGGAAAGUUUCGGCGGUUGGGGAUGGACUCGCGGCUUAUCAGCUUGUUGGUGGGGUAGUGGCUUACCAAGGCUUUGACGGGUAGCCGGCCUGAGAGGGUGACCGGCCACAAUGGGACUGAGAUACGGCCCAGACUCCUACGGGAGGCAGGAGUGGGGAAUAUUGCACAAUGGGCGGAAGCCUGAUGCAGCAACGCCGCGUGCGGGAUGACGGCCUUCGGGUUGUAAACCGCUUUCGCCUGUGACGAAGCGUGAGUGACGGUAAUGGGUAAAGAAGCAACGGCUAACUACGUG
RNAcentral lists this ribosomal RNA (468 nucleotides) under uncultured bacterium. RNAcentral's name for it is "partial 16S ribosomal RNA". It matches the Rfam family "Bacterial small subunit ribosomal RNA", at positions 28 to 507 of the family's 1533-position model. The record is from RNAcentral.